This is a long non-coding RNA of Penaeus monodon (black tiger shrimp), 675 nucleotides long. RefSeq lists it as uncharacterized. NCBI's taxonomy places the organism in Eukaryota, Metazoa, Arthropoda, Malacostraca, Decapoda, Penaeidae. The transcript has 2 exons. The record is from RefSeq and is a predicted model, not a curated record.
CAUGCAAAAUUAUUUGAGGUGAGGGCUAGGGACCAAGGCAGGGGUGAUCCCUACAAUGGGCCUCAUUCCAUCUCCUACCCCCCCCCCCCCCCACACACACACAACAACAAUGAGCACAAGAUUAGGGAUGGGGCAACUGUAAAGGUGACAUCACAGGCAAGGGCUGAGGACCAAGGCAGAGGUACGGCUGUAUGCAUGGCGAUGCGCUAGAGCUACACGUAGCAGACUCCCGCUCCAAAUGGCAGGACGGUUGUCGGAAAUCACCAGAGUCAGUGAAGCUGAGAGAUUUCUACUGUCAUCUAAGGAUUGAGCAAUUGGACAGAUUCCAUGACAUUACUUGUUCUUUCUAAAUAUUGGGCACUAUUUCUCCUUUCAAUCAAGCUAACUACACUGCAGUAUUCUACAUGAUAAAUGGGUUUUACAAUUUAUUUCUUGGGAUUAUUCUUUUAAUAUAAAAAGAUGUUUUGGCAUUUCUCACUACAUACAACUAUAAAUUUACUGUAUAUUGUGUCAUUUCAGCUCCUAUGAAACAAUUUAAGCCUCUGCUAAAUCUAAACUAAAAUAUGGGUAACUAUUUAAUAUAUUCUAAAUUCCAGACAAAAACAUGCUUGAACUUGACCCUAUUUGUAACACGAGUAUGAAUAAAAAAUUUAACCACGACUAUUACAUACUUUU